UACACUCCUGCGGGAGGCAGCAGUGGGGAAUUUUGGACAAUGGGCGAAAGCCUGAUCCAGCAAUGCCGCGUGAGUGAAGAAGGCCUUCGGGUUGUAAAGCUCUUUUGUCAGGGAAGAAACGGUGAAAGCUAAUAUCUUUUGCUAAUGACGGUACCUGAAGAACAAGCACCGGCUAACUACGUGCCAGCAGCCGCGGUAAUACGUAGGGUGCAAGCGUUAAUCGGAAUUACUGGGCGUAAAGCGUGCGCAGGCGGUUUUGUAAGUCUGAUGUGAAAUCCCCGGGCUCAACCUGGGAAUUGCAUUGGAGACUGCAAGGCUAGAAUCUGGCAGAGGGGGGUAGAAUUCCACGUGUAGCAGUGAAAUGCGUAGAUAUGUGGAGGAACACCGAUGGCGAAGGCAGCCCCCUGGGUCAAGAUUGACGCUCAUGCACGAAAGCGUGGGGAGCAAACAGGAUUAGAAACCCCAGUAGUCCCAUG
This 476-nucleotide ribosomal RNA is filed under the name uncultured organism. RNAcentral describes it as "partial 16S ribosomal RNA". It matches the Rfam family "Bacterial small subunit ribosomal RNA", at positions 332 to 799 of the family's 1533-position model. The record is from RNAcentral.